This 446-nucleotide ribosomal RNA is filed under the name uncultured bacterium. RNAcentral describes it as "partial 16S ribosomal RNA". It matches the Rfam family "Bacterial small subunit ribosomal RNA", at positions 338 to 795 of the family's 1533-position model. The record is from RNAcentral.
CCUACGGGGGGCAGCAGUCGAGAAUCAUUCACAAUGGGGGAAACCCUGAUGGUGCGACGCCGCGUGGGGGAAUGAAGGUCUUCGGAUUGUAAACCCCUGUCAUGUGGGAGCAAAUUAAAAAGAUAGUACCACAAGAGGAAGAGACGGCUAACUCUGUGCCAGCAGCCGCGGUAAUACAGAGGUCUCAAGCGUUGUUCGGAAUCACUGGGCGUAAAGCGUGCGUAGGCUGUUUCGUAAGUCGUGUGUGAAAGGCCCGGGCUCAACCCGCGGACGGCACAUGAUACUGCGAGACUAGAGUAAUGGAGGGGGAACCGGAAUUCUCGGUGUAGCAGUGAAAUGCGUAGAUAUCGAGAGGAACACUCGUGGCGAAGGCGGGUUCCUGGACAUUAACUGACGCUGAGGCACGAAGGCCAGGGGAGCGAAAGGGAUUAGAUACCCGUGUAGUC